CGCGUAGGUAAUCUACCCUCUGGCGGGGGACAACAUUCCGAAAGGAAUGCUAAUACCGCAUAAGACCACGCUCACUACGGUGAAAGCGGUUAAAGGUGCCUCAAAGCACCACCAGAGGAUGAGCCUACGUCCCAUCAGCUAGUUGGUGAGGUAACGGCUUACCAAGGCGAAGACGGGUAGCUGGUCUGAGAGGAUGAUCAGCCACACUGGCACUGGAACACGGGCCAG
RNAcentral lists this ribosomal RNA (228 nucleotides) under uncultured bacterium. RNAcentral describes it as "partial 16S ribosomal RNA". It matches the Rfam family "Bacterial small subunit ribosomal RNA", at positions 114 to 334 of the family's 1533-position model. The record is from RNAcentral.